UGCCGUUUCAAGUUUUCAGAAUUUAAUCUUUUAAUUAGCGUGUCAACGUUACAUUAAAACCUAAAGCUUGCUCUUUGCAGAGGACUGCUUUUAACAUUUUUUGAUUUGAGCGUCACUGAUGAGUCUUUUGUAGACUAAAGGCGCGUCUGGCAUAAAUAUGAAACUUUAAUCCAGGUAUCUAUGAUGAGUUUAUUUACAAGUCCCAUUUUAACAUGAAGCAUCUUUUUGUCAAAUUGUUCAGGAAAAAAACUAAUUCCAUUGCCUAUCAAAUAUAAACAUAAACUUAAGCAAAC
Molecule: long non-coding RNA, 293 nt
Filed under: Mytilus galloprovincialis (Mediterranean mussel)
Lineage: Eukaryota; Metazoa; Mollusca; Bivalvia; Mytilida; Mytilidae
Source: RNAcentral